UGGGGAAUAUUGCACAAUGGGCGCAAGCCUGAUGCAGCCAUGCCGCGUGUAUGAAGAAGGCCUUCGGGUUGUAAAGUACUUUCAGCGGGGAGGAAGGGAGUAAAGUUAAUACCUUUGCUCAUUGACGUUACCCGCAGAAGAAGCACCGGCUAACUCCGUGCCAGCUGCCGCGGUAAUACGGAGGGUGCAAGCGUUAAUCGGAAUUACUGGGCGUAAAGCGCACGCAGGCGGUUUGUUAAGUCAGAUGUGAAAUCCCCGGGCUCAACCUGGGAACUGCAUCUGAUACUGGCAAGCUUGAGUCUCGUAGAGGGGGGUAGAAUUCCAGGUGUAGCGGUGAAAUGCGUAGAGAUCUGGAGGAAUACCGGUGGCGAAGGCGGCCCCCUGGACGAAGACUGACGCUCAGGUGCGAAAGCGGGGGGAGCAAACAGG
RNAcentral lists this ribosomal RNA (429 nucleotides) under Chloroflexota bacterium. RNAcentral's name for it is "Chloroflexi bacterium partial 16S ribosomal RNA". It matches the Rfam family "Bacterial small subunit ribosomal RNA", at positions 355 to 776 of the family's 1533-position model. The record is from RNAcentral. Lineage: Bacteria; Bacillati; Chloroflexota.